GCGAAUUCUUGAUAUCCAAAAUGCAAUUCUUGAUAUCCAAAAUUCAAAUUGUUGAUAUCCAAAAUUCAAAUUGUUGAUAUCCAAAAUGCAAUUCUUGAUAUCAACAAUUCGAAUUCUUGAUAUCCAAAAUGCAAUUCUGGAUAUCAAGUUAGCAUACAUUUGCGUAAUUAAAGCUGUAAACCAAUGGGUAGGGGAGUGGGGGGAGUUUAAAAAAACGUUGCGUACACUACGCAAGAGUUGGGAUUCUGUUGGGUUUAGUCUGCUCGUACCGUAGCAGACGGGUUGGAAGAUGUCUGUACAAGUGUUUGUAAUGAAAAAGUCUCAUAAUCUCAUAAGAAACCUACGUGGACCACCCAACAAAAGAGGUGGCCCAGAGUCCUUGGAUCAUGACUACCUGGCCUGACAACACCAAGCUGACCUUGUCCAAAGCCGCUGUCCACAGCCCACAUGGUGGACCUUGUCUACCUGGUUGAACAGCUCGUCUGGAUUCAGUCUGAAGAAAGGACACAGUUCACCUAUGUUUAUUGAGCUGCUGGUCUUCUGAACAUGCACAAAUAUGAAUGUGACUUUAAAGGUAAUCCAAUCUGAUCUCACCAGCAAAAGCAGAAGACAACACCUCAUACUCCGACUACUAUUUGAUAUGUCAGCAACGUUAGAUCAGAGGAAUGUGCCCAUAUUGUGUACAAACUUUUACCUUUACAUCUCAUGUGCUAGGGAUAAGUAGUUAUUAGAGGGGGCAGGUAUCAAUGUAAUGUUUUAUGUGAAGCUAUUAAAUAAAUCCAAAGUCACAUUUAUAUUGUACGAAUUAUAAUCACUUUCUUUUAAUAAAGUUUGUUUGCAAUA
This is a long non-coding RNA of Osmerus eperlanus (European smelt), 843 nucleotides long. RefSeq lists it as uncharacterized. The record is from RefSeq and is a predicted model, not a curated record. NCBI's taxonomy places the organism in Eukaryota, Metazoa, Chordata, Actinopteri, Osmeriformes, Osmeridae. The transcript is spliced from 2 exons.